RNAcentral lists this transfer RNA (72 nucleotides) under Neotoma lepida (desert woodrat). It matches the Rfam family "tRNA". From Rfam's summary of the family: Transfer RNA (tRNA) molecules are approximately 80 nucleotides in length. Their secondary structure includes four short double-helical elements and three loops (D, anti-codon, and T loops). The record is from Rfam by way of RNAcentral. Lineage: Eukaryota; Metazoa; Chordata; Mammalia; Rodentia; Cricetidae.
GAGAGUUAGCUCAGGGUUUAAGAGCACUUGCUACUCUUCUAGAGGACCUGGGUUCAAUUCCCAGAACUCACA